This 513-nucleotide ribosomal RNA is filed under the name uncultured bacterium. RNAcentral's name for it is "partial 16S ribosomal RNA". It matches the Rfam family "Bacterial small subunit ribosomal RNA", at positions 28 to 508 of the family's 1533-position model. The record is from RNAcentral.
GAUGAACGCUGGCGGCGUGCCUAAUACAUGCAAGUCGAACGAAACUUCUUUAUCACCGAGUGCCUGCACUCACCGAUAAAGAGUUGAGUGGCGAACGGGUGAGUAACACGUGGGCAACCUGCCCAAAAGAGGGGGAUAACACUUGGAAACAGGUGCUAAUACCGCAUAAUCAUAGUUACCGCAUGGUAACUAUGUAAAAGGUGGCUAUACUACCGCUUUUGGAUGGGCCCGCGGCGCAUUAGCUAGUUGGUAGGGUAAAGGCUUACCAAGGCAAUGAUGCGUAGCCGAAUUGAGAGGUUGAUCGGCCACAUUGGGACUGAGACACGGCCCAAACUCCUACGGGAGGCAGCAGUAGGGAAUCUUCCACAAUGGGCGAAAGCCUGAUGGAGCAACGCCGCGUGGGUGAAGAAGGUCUUCGGAUCGUAAAACCCUGUUGUUAGAGAAGAAAGUGCGUGAGAGUAACUGUUCACGUUUCGACGGUAUCUAACCAGAAAGCCACGGCUAACUACGUGC